This 248-nucleotide ribosomal RNA is filed under the name uncultured Bacteroidota bacterium. RNAcentral describes it as "uncultured Bacteroidetes bacterium partial 16S ribosomal RNA". It matches the Rfam family "Bacterial small subunit ribosomal RNA", at positions 484 to 731 of the family's 1533-position model. The record is from RNAcentral. Lineage: Bacteria; Pseudomonadati; Bacteroidota.
GAAUAAGCACCGGCUAACUCCGUGCCAGCAGCCGCGGUAAUACGGAGGGUGCAAGCGUUAUCCGGAUUNACUGGGUUUAAAGGGUGUGUAGGCGGGUAUUUAAGUCAGUGGUGAAAUCUCCGAGCUCAACUCGGAAACUGCCAUUGAUACUAUUUAUCUUGAAUAUUGUUGAGGUAAGCGGAAUAUGUCAUGUAGCGGUGAAAUGCAUAGAUAUGACUUAGAACACCCAUUGCGAAGGCAGCUUACUA